CGCGUAGGCGGCCAUGUAAGUCAGAUGUGAAAGCCCGGGGCUCAACCCCGGAAGUGCAUUUGAUACUGUAUGGCUUGAGUAUGGGAGAGGGAAGUGGAAUUCCUGGUGUAGAGGUGAAAUUCGUAGAUAUCAGGAGGAACACCGGUGGCGAAGGCGACUUCCUGGACCAAUACUGACGCUGAGGCGCGAAGGCGUGGGGAGCAAACA
This 207-nucleotide ribosomal RNA is filed under the name uncultured bacterium. RNAcentral describes it as "partial 16S ribosomal RNA". It matches the Rfam family "Bacterial small subunit ribosomal RNA", at positions 568 to 774 of the family's 1533-position model. The record is from RNAcentral.